GUGCUCUUAGGAAGGGAUUGGAUACACGGAAGUCGAUGUAUACCCUCGUCGCUCCAUCAAUGUUUAAUUUUUUGGAAUGACAAAGGCGAAGCAGAAGUGGUGCAGGCCGAUCAUAGGCCUUUCGUCGCAGAAGCCAACUCAGUGGAAAAGUUUAUGUACGAAGGAAACUAUGGACCUGUCAGAGUGGUACAAGACGGGGAAGAAACUCAUGUAGUCGC
Molecule: long non-coding RNA, 218 nt
Filed under: Olea europaea (common olive)
Lineage: Eukaryota; Viridiplantae; Streptophyta; Magnoliopsida; Lamiales; Oleaceae
Description: long non-coding RNA (OEUR_LNC003648)
Source: RNAcentral